Molecule: ribosomal RNA, 1565 nt
Filed under: Citrobacter freundii
Lineage: Bacteria; Pseudomonadati; Pseudomonadota; Gammaproteobacteria; Enterobacterales; Enterobacteriaceae
Description: partial 23S ribosomal RNA
Rfam family: Bacterial large subunit ribosomal RNA
Source: RNAcentral
GGGUUGUGAGGUUAAGCGACUAAGCGUACACGGUGGAUGCCCUGGCAGUCAGAGGCGAUGAAGGACGUGCUAAUCUGCGAUAAGCGUCGGUAAGGUGAUAUGAACCGUUAUAACCGGCGAUUUCCGAAUGGGGAAACCCAGUGUGUUUCGACACACUAUCAUUGCGUGAAUACAUAGCGUAAUGAAGCGAACCGGGGGAACUGAAACAUCUAAGUACCCCGAGGAAAAGAAAUCAACCGAGAUUCCCCCAGUAGCGGCGAGCGAACGGGGAGCAGCCCAGAGUCUGAAUCAGCUUGUGUGUUAGUGGAACGGUCUGGAAAGUCCGACGGUACAGGGUGAUAGUCCCGUACACCAAAAUGCACAGGUUGUGAACUCGAAGAGUAGGGCGGGACACGUGGUAUCCUGUCUGAAUAUGGGGGGACCAUCCUCCAAGGCUAAAUACUCCUGACUGACCGAUAGUGAACCAGUACCGUGAGGGAAAGGCGAAAAGAACCCCGGCGAGGGGAGUGAAAAAGAACCUGAAACCGUGUACGUACAAGCAGUGGGAGCCUCUUUAUGGGGUGACUGCGUACCUUUUGUAUAAUGGGUCAGCGACUUAUAUUCUGUAGCAAGGUUAACCGUAUAGGGGAGCCGAAGGGAAACCGAGUCUUAACUGGGCGUUAAGUUGCAGGGUAUAGACCCGAAACCCGGUGAUCUAGCCAUGGGCAGGUUGAAGGUUGGGUAACACUAACUGGAGGACCGAACCGACUAAUGUUGAAAAAUUAGCGGAUGACUUGUGGCUGGGGGUGAAAGGCCAAUCAAACCGGGAGAUAGCUGGUUCUCCCCGAAAGCUAUUUAGGUAGCGCCUCGUGAAUUCAUCUUCGGGGGUAGAGCACUGUUUCGGCUAGGGGGUCAUCCCGACUUACCAACCCGAUGCAAACUGCGAAUACCGAAGAAUGUUAUCACGGGAGACACACGGCGGGUGCUAACGUCCGUCGUGAAGAGGGAAACAACCCAGACCGCCAGCUAAGGUCCCAAAGUCAUGGUUAAGUGGGAAACGAUGUGGGAAGGCACAGACAGCCAGGAUGUUGGCUUAGAAGCAGCCAUCAUUUAAAGAAAGCGUAAUAGCUCACUGGUCGAGUCGGCCUGCGCGGAAGAUGUAACGGGGCUAAACCAUGCACCGAAGCUGCGGCAGCGACACUAUGUGUUGUUGGGUAGGGGAGCGUUCUGUAAGCCGUUGAAGGUGUCCUGUGAGGGGUGCUGGAGGUAUCAGAAGUGCGAAUGCUGACAUAAGUAACGAUAAUGCGGGUGAAAAACCCGCACGCCGGAAGACCAAGGGUUCCUGUCCAACGUUAAUCGGGGCAGGGUGAGUCGACCCCUAAGGCGAGGCCGAAAGGCGUAGUCGAUGGGAAACAGGUUAAUAUUCCUGUACUUGGUGUUACUGCGAAGGGGGGACGGAGAAGGCUAUGUUAGCCGGGCGACGGUUGUCCCGGUUUAAGCAUGUAGGCGGAGGUUCCAGGUAAAUCCGGUACCUUUUUAACGCUGAGGUGUGAUGACGAGGCACUACGGUGCUGAAGUAACAAAUG